GACGAACGCUGGCGGCGUGCCUAAUACAUGCAAGUUGAGCGCUGAAGGUUGGUACUUGUACCAACUGGAUGAGCAGCGAACGGGUGAGUAACGCGUGGGGAAUCUGCCUUUGAGCGGGGGACAACAUUUGGAAACGAAUGCUAAUACCGCAUAAAAACUUUAAACACAAGUUUUAAGUUUGAAAGAUGCAAUUGCAUCACUCAAAGAUGAUCCCGCGUUGUAUUAGCUAGUUGGUGAGGUAAAGGCUCACCAAGGCGAUGAUACAUAGCCGACCUGAGAAGGUGGACCGCCAAAUUGGGACUGAGACACGGCCCAAACUCCUACGGGAGGCAGCAGUAGGGAAACUUCGGCAAGGGACGAAAGUCUGACCGGGCAACGCCGCGUGAGUGAAGAAGGGUUUCGGAUCGUAAAACUCUGUUGGUAGUGAAGAACGUUGGGGGGAGUGGAAAGCUCAUAAAGUGACGGUAACUACCCAGAAAGGGACGGCUAACUACGUG
RNAcentral lists this ribosomal RNA (497 nucleotides) under uncultured bacterium. RNAcentral's name for it is "partial 16S ribosomal RNA". It matches the Rfam family "Bacterial small subunit ribosomal RNA", at positions 28 to 507 of the family's 1533-position model. The record is from RNAcentral.